AAGGUUUUUUUUUGCAAGAUGUUCACCAGCAGCUGAGCGAGCGUUGGCAGGCCACGGGGGCUGUGCUGUGCUGAAGGUCGUCCGUAGCGUGAUCUGCUAGCGCUCGCAAUUCUCCUCUCCACCACGCCGGCGACGGCAGCCGGUGACCAGUACCUACAUGUCCAGCCUGAGGUCGCUAGCCAGCGCACUGAUCGGGGACGCCGCGAGGCUUCACUCGGCCACUGGCUCUGCCGGGGAGGAGCCUGACAGGGUCUACGGCGCCGUGCUCUGCCGGGCGGACUCCGCUGGUGCUAACUACAGGCGCCGCCGGGGUGCCCUUGGCGCCAUCGACGGCGACGGCCACUCACCUUGCGCGCUCCACAGCGACGUGACCGUCUACUCCGAGCUGUACCAUCUCCGUUUCUCUGACAGGAACUUCCUCGCCAACUUCAAGAACGCGCCGAAAUGGGCCGACGUCAAAUUAUGGUUUCUCUCAGACUGCUAAUGGUACAUAGCAGAUUUACAAGGGAGUAUUUACUGAUGGACAAGAGGUAGCAAUAAAAAGACUGUCUGCUCACAACAAGACGGGUGUUUGUUAUGGCUUAAAAUUAGAUUCUAACCGUCAGAAUCCGAUUCUUGUAGCCAAAGGCUUCACUUCUUAGCUUGUUUCUAUGAGAAUCGUUUCCAUGAAAAUCACUCAAAUAAUCCGCAAAUAAUCCGUCAAGUUUUGUCACGAUGAGAAAAAUUCGUUGCUUUCUAGAUCCUAAACUCUAUAAACUAUUCUAGCUUCCUCUAUAGUCUGCAAGUAAUCCCGCGAUAUUUAGAUUAUCUUGACAACUAGACUAUACAAGAAUCCAGAUUCUCAGAAAAGCUCUUUAGAAAAAAGCUAUACCAAACAUACCCCUUUAGAUAUCGCGAUAUUCAGGUUUUAGCAAAACUUAAGCACAAAAUCCUUGUUAGACUCCUUGGUCGUUGCAUCCAUGAAGAGAAGAUGCUGAUAUACGAAUAACUGACGAACCAAAGCUUGGACCACUUCAUUUUUGAUCCAAUCAUGCAUGCAUCACUUAAAUAGAAGAGAGGAGUCAAAAUAGCUGAUGGUAUAGCCCAGGGACUCCUGUACCUUCACAACCUCUCCUGAAUACGCAUCGUCCAUAGGGUCUUGAAAGCAAGUAAAAUCCUGUUAGAUUUCUGAUCUAAACCCUAAGAUUUCUGAUGUUGGGAUGGCAAGGAUAUUUCCAUCGGAUGCCACUCAAGCAACAGCCAGCAGACUUGUGGGCACAUAGUAAGGGUAUUGUUAUACUAGUUCUGUUACUUACUAAUAUUUCUAUCUAAGGAAUUGUAUUCUGACUAGCCCCAUUCUCUUCUUUUCUAGUGGAUACAUGGCUAAUGAAUUGCAUCUGAUGGCCUUCUCUCGAUCAAGUCAGAUGUUUUCAGUUUAGUAUUAAUGGUGUAUCUGUAUGGUGUUCUACAUUAUUUCCUUCCAUAAAGUAUUGAACUCAAAGUACAGGGGGUUUCCUGUACCUCCCUGUUUUA
Molecule: RNA transcript, 1512 nt
Organism: Zea mays
Lineage: Eukaryota; Viridiplantae; Streptophyta; Magnoliopsida; Poales; Poaceae
Gene name: protein-like pseudogene
Exons: 4
Source: RefSeq, marked validated